Ribosomal RNA from Callithrix jacchus (white-tufted-ear marmoset), 119 nucleotides. The record is from Ensembl. Lineage: Eukaryota; Metazoa; Chordata; Mammalia; Primates; Cebidae.
GUCUAUGGUCAUACCACCCUGAACACGCCCGAUCUCAUCAGAUCUCGGAAGCAAAGCAGGGUCGGGCCUGGUUAGUACUUGGAUGGGAGACCACCUGGGAAUACUGGGUGCUGUAGGCU